RNAcentral lists this unclassified non-coding RNA (2988 nucleotides) under Acanthaster planci (crown-of-thorns starfish). RNAcentral describes it as "cytochrome P450 2J1-like, transcript variant X2". The record is from RNAcentral. Lineage: Eukaryota; Metazoa; Echinodermata; Asteroidea; Valvatida; Acanthasteridae.
GACUAUUUGGUUUCUUUAGGCACCACCACCUGCCCCUUUAUCGAGUUGAUUUUUUUGGUAUAGCUUUAUUUUUUUCAUCUGACACACAAAAUUUCUCAUGCCUUAUUGUAAAGGACCAUUUUGAGGGAGUUUGCGCUCGAGCAACACGCAAACAGCUGAUGUGCCCGACGACUUGGCACUGCCGCUUUUGUGUCAAUAGCGGUCAUUCAGCUUGUUUUCCCUCUCCCGCAGACCGCGUCGAACUCAAAUUUACACGGUAUACAGCAUGUAAAAGAUCUGCCAGCCAGUGAUAUUUGUUUUGUGUUUUUCCCCUUGAUGGGAGAAGAAAAAUUAAGCAAACAUGUGGAGCAUGUAGGCCUGAAUGAAACGAGAAAAAGCCGUGAAUAAUUCAGGGCCACACGUGAUCGGAUGAUAAUGAUGAUCUCCGCCACACAUCUCCCCGGUCCAGUCCCCCGCAGGCCAAAAAUUGUCAAAACACUGUGUGUAUAUAUUUACCCAAAUCGAAUCGGCGACGCCACUGAUCAUGCAAAUAUGCCUCUCAAUGAAAAAGAAAACCUAGAAGAAAACACAAUUUAGGCGCUGUGAUGGCGCGGGAGCUGUUCCAGCGUGAGGUGCAAGCGAAUGGUCCCGACACAGCUGCACUUCAGCUCCAUCCACGCUAUCUACGCUGAAGUAUGAGAUUGUCCGAUACGCGACCAUUGGACUGUACCCCCGGAUAAACUAGCUCAUUAUUGUGCCGGCUUGUCAACGCGAAGCACGGUGAGAUUUGCGCGCGGUGCCUUACUGAUGUGAUGGGCUACGUAGAGAUGUCAGCUAUUCUUGAUGUCUGGGAUUUACGGACAGUCCUCAUCGGUGUCGUGGUCUUCCUCUCGAUGUCAUGGGUCCUGCGCCGUCGGCGUCCCCUCGGUAGCAACACUCUGCCCCCGGGGCCCUGGGGUUGGCCCCUCAUCGGGAACCUACCAUCCCUCGCCUUUGCGUCCGGUGCGGAUGAGCCCCACGAAGUCUUCAUGCGGAUGGCCAAACAGUACGGGCCGAUCUUCAGCCUGAAUGUCUUGGGCCAGAGGAUGGUGGUAGUGCACGGCUACAAAGCAAUACGAGAAGCCUUCAACAACCCUUCCUUGAGUGAUCGCCCGGAGCUGCAUAUUCUGCAAAACCUAUUUAAUGGUGCCGAAGGAGUAGCUACUGCAUCCGGAGAUACAUGGAGGGAACAGCGCAAACUCAUCCUGAACGUCUUUAGGAAUUUCGGCGUCGGGCAGGCGUGCUUCGAGGAUCAAAUCGCCACAGAGGCUAAUCACCUUACGGCCGAGAUCAAAAAGCUGAAAGGAGAAGUCUUCAAUCCUGUCCACCUCUUCGGCAACGCCGUGUCCAACGUUAUUUCCUCAGUGGUCCUCGGCAGGCGCUACGAGUACAACGAUGUGGAGUUCCAGCGUGUGCUAGCAUCCAUGGAUCGAAGCAUGGAGUUGAUUGGUGCCGGCGCAGCCAUGCAGUUCCUUCCCUUUGUGAACAGGCUGGGUUUCCUGCCGAGUAUCAAGGAGAUGACCGCCACCAUGAAGUACGUGAUGGACUUCGUCAUGGGCAUCGUGAAGAAACACCAGAGUGACUCCUACGUGGAGGAGUCGCGCGAUCUGAUGGACGUCUACCUCAGGGAGAUGAAGAGCAAGGAGGAGCGAAACAUCCCCACUAAUCUCAGCGUCCUGAACCUCGUCAUUGUCGUCUCGGAUCUGUUCGUGGCGGGCACCGAGACCACGGCCAGCACGCUGCGCUGGGGUCUGCUGUUCAUGAUGCUCCACCCCGAGAUCCAGGGCCGCGUCCAGAUAGAACUGGACAGCGUGGUCGGACGGGAGCGGCUGCCGCAAAUGUCCGACAGGCGCAACCUGCCCUACACCGAGGCCGUCAUUUUGGAACUACAGAGGCGGGGUAACAUCGUUCCCCUCGGCCUCCCGCACAAGGCUGCCGAAGACACGACCCUGGCGGGGUACACGGUGCCCAAAGGCAGCCUGGUUGUAGCCAAUCACUGGGCGCUCAACAUCGACCCCGAGCUCUUCCCAGAUCCAUGGGAUUUCAACCCGGAGAGAUUUCUAAACGAAGACGGCGAGGUGACGAAACCUGAGGAGUUAAUUCCCUUUAGUACGGGUCGUCGCAUCUGCUUGGGAGAGCAACUGGCCAAGAUGGAGCUCUUCAUUUUCUUCACGCACCUUCUCCACCAGUUCACCUUCAGGAAGCCCGAGGGCUCGCCGCCCCUCAGCCUCAAGGGUCACCUGGGUAUCACCCUCGCGCCUAUGCCCUUCGAAGUGUGCGCCCUGCCGCGGUGAUUUCAAAUGAACGCAGAAAGCAAGGGGAUGUAGCUUUCUCGAGAUGUGAAAGAGGCAUGGAUUUGGAGGUUCGGUAACGCUGUGAUACAUGGGCCUAAACCAAUCAUGACUUUUCCGAGACACCAACAACGCAGUUACUCAUUAAUGGCUGCAAUUGAGAGGAAUUUUUCUCCCGUGUACUAUAGCUGAUAGUUAGCAAUGCUCGAGGCGCUCUUUGGGUAUUGAAAUGUCAAUGGCGUACGUGUUCCCAUUGCUUCGGCAUAUUAUGCCACCGUCAAAGCCAAGUCUCCAAUAAAAGAUUAAAGUUCAAACUCAUUAAACAUUUUUUCGGCGAUGUGUUCAUUACACGCACGGCCAUGUUUGUUGUGGUCUGCGAGGGGAUAUAUGAAAAUUGAAAGCGGCAGGAAAAUAGGCUGGCAUCCUCUUUUUUAUGGCUCUGGAAUGGGCAUAUUAAUUAUUAUGUUGGCUUCAUGGAAUUCGGUCUGACAUAUCAGUCUCACAAAUGAUAUGUUUUAAGUGAAUUACAAAUGUUUUUAGCUGAACGGCUCAUGUACCAUCAAGUUGGAUGUUGUUAUCCAUCACCUGUUUUUGUUUUAUUCAAAAUUAACGCAUUAGAUAUUUUUUUCUGAAGGAGAAGUUGUAGUUAAAAGUUAAUAAAAGAAUAUGAUGAUCCGUA